RNAcentral lists this ribosomal RNA (253 nucleotides) under uncultured bacterium. RNAcentral's name for it is "partial 16S ribosomal RNA". It matches the Rfam family "Bacterial small subunit ribosomal RNA", at positions 524 to 776 of the family's 1533-position model. The record is from RNAcentral.
UACGUAGGGUGCAAGCGUUGUCCGGAAUUAUUGGGCGUAAAGAGCUCGUAGGCGGUUUGUCGCGUCGGCUGUGAAAACCCGGGGCUCAACCCCGGGCCUGCAGUCGAUACGGGCAGACUAGAGUGCGGUAGGGGUGACUGGAAUUCCUGGUGUAGCGGUGGAAUGCGCAGAUAUCAGGAGGAACACCGAUGGCGAAGGCAGGUCACUGGGACGGUACUGACGCUGAGACGCGAAAGCGUGGGGAGCGAACAGG